GGGUUGUGAGGUUAAGCGACUAAGCGUACACGGUGGAUGCCCUGGCAGUCAGAGGCGAUGAAGGACGUGCUAAUCUGCGAUAAGCGUCGGUAAGGUGAUAUGAACCGUUAUAACCGGCGAUUUCCGAAUGGGGAAACCCAGUGUGAUUCGUCACACUAUCAUUAACUGAAUCCAUAGGUUAAUGAGGCGAACCGGGGGAACUGAAACAUCUAAGUACCCCGAGGAAAAGAAAUCAACCGAGAUUCCCCCAGUAGCGGCGAGCGAACGGGGAGCAGCCCAGAGCCUGAAUCAGUGUGUGUGUUAGUGGAAGCGUCUGGAAAGACGCGCGAUACAGGGUGACAGCCCCGUACACAAAAAUGCACAUGCUGUGAGCUCGAUGAGUAGGGCGGGACACGUGGUAUCCUGUCUGAAUAUGGGGGGACCAUCCUCCAAGGCUAAAUACUCCUGACUGACCGAUAGUGAACCAGUACCGUGAGGGAAAGGCGAAAAGAACCCCGGCGAGGGGAGUGAAAAAGAACCUGAAACCGUGUACGUACAAGCAGUGGGAGCACAGAGCAAUCUGUGUGACUGCGUACCUUUUGUAUAAUGGGUCAGCGACUUAUAUUCUGUAGCAAGGUUAACCGAAUAGGGGAGCCGAAGGGAAACCGAGUCUUAACUGGGCGUUAAGUUGCAGGGUAUAGACCCGAAACCCGGUGAUCUAGCCAUGGGCAGGUUGAAGGUUGGGUAACACUAACUGGAGGACCGAACCGACUAAUGUUGAAAAAUUAGCGGAUGACUUGUGGCUGGGGGUGAAAGGCCAAUCAAACCGGGAGAUAGCUGGUUCUCCCCGAAAGCUAUUUAGGUAGCGCCUCGUGAAUUCAUCUCCGGGGGUAGAGCACUGUUUCGGCAAGGGGGUCAUCCCGACUUACCAACCCGAUGCAAACUGCGAAUACCGGAGAAUGUUAUCACGGGAGACACACGGCGGGUGCUAACGUCCGUCGUGAAGAGGGAAACAACCCAGACCGCCAGCUAAGGUCCCAAAGUCAUGGUUAAGUGGGAAACGAUGUGGGAAGGCCCAGACAGCCAGGAUGUUGGCUUAGAAGCAGCCAUCAUUUAAAGAAAGCGUAAUAGCUCACUGGUCGAGUCGGCCUGCGCGGAAGAUGUAACGGGGCUAAACCAUGCACCGAAGCUGCGGCAGCGACGCUUAUGCGUUGUUGGGUAGGGGAGCGUUCUGUAAGCCUGUGAAGGUGUACUGUGAGGUAUGCUGGAGGUAUCAGAAGUGCGAAUGCUGACAUAAGUAACGAUAAAGCGGGUGAAAAGCCCGCUCGCCGGAAGACCAAGGGUUCCUGUCCAACGUUAAUCGGGGCAGGGUGAGUCGACCCCUAAGGCGAGGCCGAAAGGCGUAGUCGAUGGGAAACAGGUUAAUAUUCCUGUACUUGGUGUUACUGCGAAGGGGGGACGGAGAAGGCUAUGUUGGCCGGGCGACGGUUGUCCCGGUUUAAGCGUGUAGGCUGGUUUUCCAGGCAAAUCCGGAAAAUCAAGGCUGAGGCGUGAUGACGAGGCACUACGGUGCUGAAGCAACAAAUGCCCUGCUUCCAGGAAAAGCCUCUAAGCAUCAGGUAACAUCAAAUCGUACCCCAAACCGACACAGGUGGUCAGGUAGAGAAUACCAAGGCGCUUGAGAGAACUCGGGUGAAGGAACUAGGCAAAAUGGUGCCGUAACUUCGGGAGAAGGCACGCUGAUAUGUAGGUGAAGUCCCUCGCGGAUGGAGCUGAAAUCAGUCGAAGAUACCAGCUGGCUGCAACUGUUUAUUAAAAACACAGCACUGUGCAAACACGAAAGUGGACGUAUACGGUGUGACGCCUGCCCGGUGCCGGAAGGUUAAUUGAUGGGGUUAGCGCAAGCGAAGCUCUUGAUCGAAGCCCCGGUAAACGGCGGCCGUAACUAUAACGGUCCUAAGGUAGCGAAAUUCCUUGUCGGGUAAGUUCCGACCUGCACGAAUGGCGUAAUGAUGGCCAGGCUGUCUCCACCCGAGACUCAGUGAAAUUGAACUCGCUGUGAAGAUGCAGUGUACCCGCGGCAAGACGGAAAGACCCCGUGAACCUUUACUAUAGCUUGACACUGAACAUUGAGCCUUGAUGUGUAGGAUAGGUGGGAGGCUUUGAAGUGUGGACGCCAGUCUGCAUGGAGCCGACCUUGAAAUACCACCCUUUAAUGUUUGAUGUUCUAACGUUGACCCGUAAUCCGGGUUGCGGACAGUGUCUGGUGGGUAGUUUGACUGGGGCGGUCUCCUCCUAAAGAGUAACGGAGGAGCACGAAGGUUGGCUAAUCCUGGUCGGACAUCAGGAGGUUAGUGCAAUGGCAUAAGCCAGCUUGACUGCGAGCGUGACGGCGCGAGCAGGUGCGAAAGCAGGUCAUAGUGAUCCGGUGGUUCUGAAUGGAAGGGCCAUCGCUCAACGGAUAAAAGGUACUCCGGGGAUAACAGGCUGAUACCGCCCAAGAGUUCAUAUCGACGGCGGUGUUUGGCACCUCGAUGUCGGCUCAUCACAUCCUGGGGCUGAAGUAGGUCCCAAGGGUAUGGCUGUUCGCCAUUUAAAGUGGUACGCGAGCUGGGUUUAGAACGUCGUGAGACAGUUCGGUCCCUAUCUGCCGUGGGCGCUGGAGAACUGAGGGGGGCUGCUCCUAGUACGAGAGGACCGGAGUGGACGCAUCACUGGUGUUCGGGUUGUCAUGCCAAUGGCACUGCCCGGUAGCUAAAUGCGGAAGAGAUAAGUGCUGAAAGCAUCUAAGCACGAAACUUGCCCCGAGAUGAGUUCUCCCUGACUCCUUGAGAGUCCUGAAGGAACGUUGAAGACGACGACGUUGAUAGGCCGGGUGUGUAAGCGCAGCGAUGCGUUGAGCUAACCGGUACUAAUGAACCGUGAGGCUUAACCUUACAACGCCGAAGGUGUUU
RNAcentral lists this ribosomal RNA (2933 nucleotides) under Escherichia coli. RNAcentral's name for it is "bacterial LSU rRNA". It matches the Rfam family "Bacterial large subunit ribosomal RNA". The record is from RNAcentral. Lineage: Bacteria; Pseudomonadati; Pseudomonadota; Gammaproteobacteria; Enterobacterales; Enterobacteriaceae.